GCAUAUGACUACUGGCAGGAUCAACCAGGUAGCAUUCCUCAUUCGACAUCAACAACGCAUGAGACGAUUCGCAAGGAUUCGUUCAACACGUGAAUGAUUGUCAUUCGCACGAAGCGUGGGACGCUCGAUUUGGGGCAAACCAAGGUUUAAAUGACCUUGCAACCGCUCAAUGUUCCGUACCCGAGAAACCACGCACAACAUCAUGAUUCAACAAUCCAAGCACAGCUAAGUGGCGUGAAAAGUGAAACACAAUGAGUGCUACAAAGUCCACCAAACGCCGCAUCCCGAAGGGUUCAACGCUGGAUGGAUGACCGAAUAUUCCAACAAAGCAAUGCCCUCAAAUUAGGAACUCAACACAAGAAACCAAAAACGAUCAAGACAUGCUCAAUCCGACAACUGAAAAGGGACGCACACACGCUGACUAUGCUCAAGCAGGGAUCCAACGUGCCAAUACAAACCAAACACCACUCA
RNAcentral lists this unclassified non-coding RNA (471 nucleotides) under Odontites vulcanicus. RNAcentral's name for it is "partial external transcribed spacer". Lineage: Eukaryota; Viridiplantae; Streptophyta; Magnoliopsida; Lamiales; Orobanchaceae. The record is from RNAcentral.